Molecule: long non-coding RNA, 493 nt
Filed under: Mytilus galloprovincialis (Mediterranean mussel)
Lineage: Eukaryota; Metazoa; Mollusca; Bivalvia; Mytilida; Mytilidae
Source: RNAcentral
AAAGUUGAAUUCUUUGAUUCGCUGUUUUACGUCAUGCCCGAUAACAAAUUGAAAACUGUACCUAUACGCCUUAUUUUAGCCACAGAUUUUUAGUAUUCGUAUUGUUAUCUUAGAAAGUCUUACUGAUUAAAAUACUACAAUAGGUAACAAUUUGACAAUUUAGUAGUGUCAACCCUGUGAUUAUGACCCGUGUAUAUAGCAUAUUAAUCCUGAAUACACCGUUUGGUGGUGCGCCUGUCAGAUGCAGAACGUACAGAUAAGGUAAUAGGUAACAGUUGAAUAUACUAUUGGUAUCGGUAUCAGACUCGACCCGGAACUUCUUAAUUAUUGGCAAUAUUAAUUACGUGGAAAACAAAAGGGCCUGGAGUGGUGUAAUUAUUAAUCUACACCUUUGUACUAUAUUAGUUAUAUAUAAAGUUGAAUUCUUUGAUUCGUCGUUUUUACGUGAUGACGGCUGACAAAUUGGACCUCGUAAUUUUAGUACUAUAGAUAU